CCCUGAGGUGCAAAACACAAUGGCAAAUCAGAAAACACAACACAAAAAGAGAAAACACAAUAGAUUGUGUUGUUGUGUUUUCUGAUUUGACGUUGUGUUUUGCACCUCAGGG
Molecule: non-coding RNA, 112 nt
Organism: Xyrichtys novacula (pearly razorfish)
Lineage: Eukaryota; Metazoa; Chordata; Actinopteri; Labriformes; Labridae
Source: the annotation of a GenBank genome assembly